Molecule: RNA transcript, 2554 nt
Organism: Oreochromis niloticus (Nile tilapia)
Lineage: Eukaryota; Metazoa; Chordata; Actinopteri; Cichliformes; Cichlidae
Gene name: protein Daple-like
Exons: 3
Source: RefSeq, a predicted model, not a curated record
AUGGAGGGCCGCUCCGUCAGCCUCUCCAGUGACGACGUCACAGGUCUCAGCCAAUCACAGCUGACCCUGUCGCGAAGCUCCACCCUUCCAUAUGACCACGCACCCCAGAGGGCCCAGCCACAGCGUGGCGGCGGGGUCAGAAGUAAGACCCGCCCUGCUUCUCCUGGGAGUGAGAUGGUGACGCUGGAAGAGUUCCUGCAGGAGAGCAACCUGCAGUCUCCUCCUGUGGUGUCCACAGGAAGCAGAGAGGACCUGGUGACGGACUAUUUUGCUAGAAGCCCCGCCUCCUCAGCUCCUGCCUGCAGAGAUCAGGCAACGCCCACCAGCUACGUCACGCCCACCGUGCAGUCGUCCAAUCAGAGGCCGGGACAGAGUGUGAAGCCCUCGCCCCGUCAGCCCGUGGGCCAGUCGCCGGCCUCGGGUCAGAGAAGCAGCCAAUCGCUGAGCAGGACCUUCAGCCUGGCCUCGGCCGACCUGCUGCGCUCUAACGGGCCGGACAGCUUCAGAGGACACGACGGCUCCCCCGGCCAGGCUGACGCCGUGGUGCGGCGUCAAGGAGGCGGGACCACUGGGAGAGAGCGGCCGCUGUCGGCUCGUUUUACCGCUCUGUCCAAUCAGCACGCAGAUGGCAGCUUCCUGAACCCGCCCAUCCACCACUCCGCCUCCCUGAACCUGCAGGCGGAGCGCUACGCGGAGCGAGAGCGGGACCGAGGGCGGAGCGCCGCCUCCCGAAAUGGCCCUCACCGUGGUGAAAUUGCCAUGGUAACCCAGUGAGAGCGACGCCUGCCACUCAGCCUGACGACACCCCCGAGUACGCAGAGGUCCCGAGGGAGGGGCGGUUGGGCGACUCCGCCCACAUGAAGAAGGAUGGCGAGAGAGGGAGGUGUGGCUCGGUGGAACGCCCAAAGAGCACCCCGGCGUCACCCGACCCCAACAACGACCCGCAGACGGUGUGGUACGAGUACGGCUGCGUCUAAAUACCGGAGCGCCACGCCCUGCAUCCAGCCUCAGAGACAGGAAGUGAGACUGAAGCCACCCUUUCACUUCCUGUUAGUAAAUAAGUGGACAGGUGAGGCAGUCACAUGAUCAUCACUCUGAGGUGGAUGCAGGACUGGAUGGACACUAUCAGCGCUCCCCAUGGGGGGGCGGGGCUUACCGGAGCGGGACGUUUCCUGAAAACAUCUUUUUUGGAUUCUAUAGUGACGCCGAGCUGACGCUCCGUCUCUAACACACACAGAGAAGACGCUGCUCCAUCACCUCCACCCUGCAGCCACCACAACACAACACUACGAGCGGCCCUGUCUAACUGCUGGACUCUCUGCAGGACCGCCGCCUGAAUGUACGGGACACCACAUUCCCCGCCUCCAAAAUCACGCCAAACACUGGAAAAGACACAGGAGGGGUGGAGGAGGGGUGGGGGUGGGGGUAAACAGGACAGGCGGAGAGCCUCCUCCCUUUUAAAUUACAGCCCUGCUCCAUCCAUCUUUAGAUUCUAUCCCAGCAUGCAACGCUCUGACACUUUACUGGAAAUGUUGCUCAACCCAAGCCGACACUAGACACACACACACACACAUUUAUAUAAUGAUAGAGAGACACUCAGGCUUUGUCCUCGGGGGGUUUCUGUGGCUUCUCUGCUCAGCUGGAUUUAAUUCAAACACACACACACAGACACACACUCUCUCACACACACACAGACACACACAGACACACACUGAGGUUUGGAGCCUGCGGCUGAGAGUAAAAUCAUUCACGUGUUUCCUCUGAGCUGUAACAGCCACUGUUUUGGUGUUUGUGUUAAUUAUAGAUGGAACACACACACACACACCUCAUUCCCGGAUUCACGCUCAUUUGGUGAUUGUCUGUUUGUCUCAGAGGUCAGAGGUCACGUGAAUGAUUUUAGUGUUUUUCCCUCUGGCUGAGCUCACACACUUCGGGGAGGAAGAGGAGGCACAAUGACUGAAGGUGUGUCUCACACACAGCUGAUGAUAUUUAAUGACUGACCUUUGACCUGCUGUUUCAAAGCACUACAUUAACGAUGAUGAUGAUGAUGGUAGAGAUGAAGAUGUAACACUGGAGUUAUGAAAUGAAGACUGAGCUGAUAUGAGUUAAAUUAUUCCUCCUGGAAUUUGUACGUGUUUGAUGAUUUUUUUUGUUUUUACUUUGAAAAUACCAAAUGACUUCCUGUGUGUGUGGCGGCGCUGCAGGUCGAUGAUGUCACGUUACCUGUGCGUUUGCUCUGUUUGUGUUUGCUGUAAAGUCGACCUGUUCUGCUGGUUACUGCUGCACCUGUGAGAGUGGCUGAGCAUGAGUCUCAGCUCAGAAUAAUGCUUCUGUGUCUGAGCCAUCCUCUGUCUGAAUCAGGCUGCUUUAGCUCCUCCCUCUGCGAGGCUGGAUUCAUACAUACACAUCAUGCUCAUUUCUCAGCAGCCAAUUAAAUCCUCCGGCUUCAUCACGAGCCAAUCAGAUCACGUUCUAAGAAUAUCUGAGAGCGAGCGAGGUGGCUGUUAGAAAACUUUCUUCUGAUUGGCUGCCCCUCACAAACAGUUUGAAUGCA